This 497-nucleotide ribosomal RNA is filed under the name uncultured bacterium. RNAcentral's name for it is "partial 16S ribosomal RNA". It matches the Rfam family "Bacterial small subunit ribosomal RNA", at positions 28 to 507 of the family's 1533-position model. The record is from RNAcentral.
GAUGAACGCUGGCGGCGUGCCUAAUACAUGCAAGUCGAACGCAUAGCGAAAGGUGCUUGCACCUUUCAAGUGAGUGGCGAACGGGUGAGUAACACGUGGACACCCUGCCUCAAGGCUGGGGAUAACAUUUGGAAACAGAUGCUAAUACCGAAUAAAACUUAGUGUCGCAUGACACAAAGUUAAAAGGCGCUUCGGCGUCACCUAGAGAUGGAUCCGCGGUGCAUUAGUUAGUUGGUGGGGUAAAGGCCUACCAAGACAAUGAUGCAUAGCUGAGUUGAGAGACUGAUCGGCCACAUUGGGACUGAGACACGGCCCAAACUCCUACGGGAGGCUGCAGUAGGGAAUCUUCCACAAUGGGCGAAAGCCUGAUGGAGCAACGCCGCGUGUGUGAUGAAGGCUUUCGGGUCGUAAAGCACUGUUGUAUGGGAAGAACAGCUAGAAUAGGAAAUGAUUUUAGUUUGACGGUACCAUACCAGAAAGGGACGGCUAAAUACGUG